Molecule: ribosomal RNA, 1228 nt
Filed under: Melytra sp. NLG-2012
Lineage: Eukaryota; Metazoa; Arthropoda; Insecta; Coleoptera; Promecheilidae
Description: partial 16S ribosomal RNA
Source: RNAcentral
GUCUUUAAAAUUAAAAAUUUUGGCGGUAUUUUAGUCUUUUCAGAGGAACCUGUCCUAUAAUUGAUAUUCCACGAUAAGUUAUACUUUAUUUUUAAAUUUAUAUAUCGUCGUAGUUUGAAUAUUUUAUUAUUAAAUGUUUUCAGAUCAAGGUGUAGUUUAUAAUAAAGUAAGAAUGGGUUACAAUAAAAAUAUAAAUUAAAUUGGAUUUGAAAGUAAGCUCUAAAAUAUGCACAUAUCGCCCGUCGCUUUCGUUUUAAAAUGGAAUAAGUCGUAACAAAGUAGGCUUAUUGGAAAAUGUGCCUAGAAAGCAAAUUAGAGCUUGAUAAGUAUUUUAUUUACAUUAAAAAGUUAAUUGUUAAAUUCAAUUUAAUUUGAAUUUUAUAAUUUAUUUAAAAUUUGAGUUAAAUUUAUUAAAAAUUUAUUUAUUUUAUUAUUUUAAUGAAAAAAUUUUAUUAUAGUUAAUAGUACUGUGAAGUAAAAUGUUGUUAUAUUUAAAAGAAAAAUUUAAUUUUUGUACCUUGUGUGUCAGGGUUUAUCAAUUUAAUAUUCUCGAAAUUAAAAGAGCUAAUUUUAUUGUGAAAUAAAUAUUUAAAAUUUAUUAUUAGUAAUGAAACGUUAUUCGUUUUUAAUUAUAUCUAGUUUUUUAAGAAAUAAAUUUAAUUUAUAUAUUAAUUAUUAUUUUUAUAGGGGAUAAGCUUUAAAAUAAAUUUUUAUAAAUAAUUUUUAUAUUAAAAGUUAUAGGAUUAGAAUUUUCUAUUAAUAAAAAAAUGUUAUAAUUAAUUAUUUUAAAUUUUUUAUUAAAAUAAUAAUUUUAAUUUUUAUUAUUAAGUAAUAAUGAUAAAAUUAGUAAGUUAAUAUUAAGGAAUUCGGCAAAUUAUUUUUUUACCUGUUUAUUAAAAACAUGGCUUUUUGUUAAUAAUUUAAAGUCUGACCUGCCCAGUGAUUUAACGGCCGCAGUAUUUUGACUGUGCAAAGGUAGCAUAAUCAUUAGUUUUUUAAAUGGAAGCUGGAAUGAAUGGUUUUAUAAGAAAAAAGCUGUCUCUAAAAUUUUAUUUUUAAGUUAAAAAGCUUAAAUUAUAUAAAUAGACGAGAAGACCCUAUAGAGUUUUUUUAUUGGGGUGAUAUAAAAAUUUAAUUAACUUUUUAUUUUUAUGAAUUAUUGAUCCUAGAUUAUAAGAAAAAAUUACCUUAGGGAUAACAGCGUAAUUUUUUUUUAGAGUUCUUAUUG